UUCAAUGGGGCGGGCCGUGCGGGAGGGCGCAAGUCCUGCCGGUUCCUAUGUCCGGUCUGCUAACCCGCACGGUUCCGCCUCACCCCG
This 87-nucleotide non-coding RNA is filed under the name Laribacter hongkongensis HLHK9. Lineage: Bacteria; Pseudomonadati; Pseudomonadota; Betaproteobacteria; Neisseriales; Aquaspirillaceae. The record is from RNAcentral.